UUGGGGGAAUGCAUAGUCCUCUUAUGAGGCUAGUUGUGUUUUGAAUAAUGGUAUAAGUUUAUAAAAUAAACAUAACACCAACUACGUUGGAUAAAAUUCUAGAUAGAAUACUGAUUAUGACUAUUUUCUAUCUAUAUGUCUUGACCAAAUUACGUGCCAGCAGUCGCGGCAAUACGUAGAAGACUAGUGUUAUUCAUCUUUAAUAGGUUUAAAGGGUACCUAGACGGUAUUAUUAACCCAAAACAGGGAAAUAUUUUUACUAGAGUUUGAUGUAAAAAGAGAGUAUUGAUGGAGGAGAGUUAAAAUUUUUUGAUACCGUUAGGACUGGUAAUGGCGAAAGCACUCUUUUAUGUAAAAACUGACGUUAAGGGACGAAGGCUUGGGGCGCAAACAGGAUUAGAUACCCUAGUAGUCCAUGCAGAUAAUGAUGAAUGCCAUAGACUAGAUAUGUUUUAGUUUAUAAAUGAAAGUGUAAGCAUUCCACCUCAAGAGUACUGUGGCAACGCUGGAACUGAAAUCAUUAGACCGUUUCUGAGAACAGUAGUGAAGUAUGUUAUAUAAUUCGAUAGUCCUCGUAAAACCUUACCACAACUUGAAUUGUGUCCAUAUUUAAUAAAAUAUUCAAAUAAUAGCAACCUAAUUUAAUAUUACUUAAAUAAUAUCAUUUUAGCUAUAUCUGAUCAAACAUAUUUAAUUAAUAGGAUGUAACAAGUGUUGCACGGUUGUCUUCAGCUAAUGUCGUGAGAUUUUGGUUAGUUCCAUAAAAUUAGCGUAAACCCUGGUUUUAUUUUUUAAUUAAUAUUAUGAUAAAGCAGUUCGUCACUAUAUCGACAUAUGAUAA
Molecule: ribosomal RNA, 841 nt
Filed under: Hypoderma obtectum
Lineage: Eukaryota; Fungi; Ascomycota; Leotiomycetes; Rhytismatales; Rhytismataceae
Description: mitochondrial SSU rRNA
Rfam family: Bacterial small subunit ribosomal RNA (bases 88-841)
Source: RNAcentral